UACAGAGGGUGCAAACGUUGUUCGGAAUUACUGGGCGUAAAGCGAGUGCAGGCGGUCUUGUAAGUCGGGUGUGAAAGCCCUGGGCUCAACCCAGGAAGUGCACUCGAAACUGCGAGGCUAGAGUACUGGAGAGGUUGGUGGAAUUCUCGGUGUAGAGGUGAAAUUCGUAGAUAUCGGGUGGAACACCUGUGGCGAAGGCGGCCAUCUGGACGUCAACUGACGCUGAGACGCGAAAGCAUGGGGAGCAAACAGG
RNAcentral lists this ribosomal RNA (253 nucleotides) under uncultured bacterium. Its description in RNAcentral is "partial 16S ribosomal RNA". It matches the Rfam family "Bacterial small subunit ribosomal RNA", at positions 524 to 776 of the family's 1533-position model. The record is from RNAcentral.